UCCUCUGAGCUCUCAUUCUGGGACACGGCAGCAGGGCCGCAGAGUGUAGACGACUGGCCCGGACCCCCUGGAUGGACCUGACCCUGGGGGAUGCAGACAACUAGUCUGGACCACCUGGACCCUUGAACGACAGACAGACGACUGGCCCGGACUGCCAGCUGCCCCAACCCCAACAGAGCUUCUGCUGACAACUGAGGCCCCUGCCGAUCACCUUACCUCACCGGACCAGCAGAUGUCACAUGACUUCAGUAUUAAACAUCACAAGUUAUUAGAAUGGAUUUGGUUUCAGAAGACAGAAAAAAAAAGAAAAGAAAACCCAAAACUAUCCAAUCUUCACAGAUGACUGCAGACUUGUGGACUGGGUGAUGUUGCAGUAUUUUUAGCACACAGUUACAGGAAGUAUUCUUGUCAGUCAGAGUUGGUAUGUUUCCAUUUGUGUGGUUUGGCUGCAUGGAGCAACGUGGCAACUGGUUACUUGAAAAUAUUUAAGAAAAAGGCAAAUUCCUCAGCUCUGGCAUACCUGUGGACCACAUAUAUGGACAU
This is a long non-coding RNA of Mauremys mutica (yellowpond turtle), 543 nucleotides long. RefSeq lists it as uncharacterized. The record is from RefSeq and is a predicted model, not a curated record. NCBI's taxonomy places the organism in Eukaryota, Metazoa, Chordata, Testudines, Geoemydidae. The transcript has 3 exons.